Molecule: long non-coding RNA, 442 nt
Organism: Aethalodelphis obliquidens (Pacific white-sided dolphin)
Lineage: Eukaryota; Metazoa; Chordata; Mammalia; Artiodactyla; Delphinidae
Exons: 2
Source: RefSeq, a predicted model, not a curated record
UUUAGUAACUCCGUGGAGUCCUUGCUGCUUUCAUGCCCCUUGCCUUCCUCAGAUCACAGGAUUUGCUUUCAUACUUGGAUAAACCUACUUCUCAUUAGCGGCUUAAGAAAUGUUUUCUAUGCAUCCAGAAUUUGUAAUGUCGAGAAGUGGACUUCAAUACUUUUUUCUUUGCCAACAGAUACUGCUAUCUAAUGAAGGAUGAAUUUCAAGUACCCGAGACUUGAGCUCUUCUUAAGGAUCAAAGGACACCUCUGGAAGGAGACCCACAGGUGAAUGGUGAUAACAGCUGCUCAACAUCAAUUCAGCAGCAUCAAUUCAGCACCAUGAUCUGCCUCAAACAAGGGUCCAAGUCCUGUGUAUUUAGCAUGUUCCCUAUAACUAAAGAGUGAAUAAAUGAAUGAGGAGAGAAGAGCUUAUGAAUAAAAUACUUCCUAAUAGCAGA